Gordionus sp. m RMFG-2023 is the source of this 150-nucleotide long non-coding RNA. RefSeq lists it as uncharacterized. The record is from RefSeq and is a predicted model, not a curated record. Lineage: Eukaryota; Metazoa; Nematomorpha; Gordioida; Chordodea; Parachordodidae. The transcript has 4 exons.
AGCUCCUGCCUGCUUAGAAAUAACACAAGUUAAAUCUAUAGCCACACAAACUGAUCCCAUAAAUGUAGAUAGUAUUCCAGCAGCCACUCAAACAACAUUUGAAACCAUAACCAACCAAGCAUCAAAUAAUAUGAUCCCUCCAACUAACCA